GACGAACGCUGGCGGCGUGCCUAAUACAUGCAAGUUGAGCGCUGAAGGUUGGUACUUGUACCAACUGGAUGAGCAGCGAACGGGUGAGUAACGCGUGGGGAAUCUGCCUUUGAGCGGGGGACAACAUUUGGAAACGAAUGCUAAUACCGCAUAAAAACUUUAAACACAAGUUUUAAGUUUGAAAGAUGCAAUUGCAUCACUCAAAGAUGAUCCCGCGUUGUAUUAGCUAGUUGGUGAGGUAAAGGCUCAUCAAGGCGAUGAUACAUAGCCGACCUGAGUGGGUGAUCAGACACAAUGAGACUUAGACACGGCCCAAACCCCUACGGGAGGCAACAGUAGGGAAUCUUCGGCAAGGGACGAAAGUCUGACCGAGCAACGCCGCGAGAGUGAAGAAGGUUGUCGGGUCGUAAAAAUCUGUUGGUAGAGAAGAACGUUGGUGAGAGUGGAAAGCUCAUCAAGUGACGGUAACUACCCAGAAAGGGACGGCUAACUACGUG
Molecule: ribosomal RNA, 497 nt
Filed under: uncultured bacterium
Lineage: Bacteria
Description: partial 16S ribosomal RNA
Rfam family: Bacterial small subunit ribosomal RNA
Source: RNAcentral